This is a non-coding RNA of Cavia porcellus (domestic guinea pig), 106 nucleotides long. NCBI's taxonomy places the organism in Eukaryota, Metazoa, Chordata, Mammalia, Rodentia, Caviidae. The record is from Rfam.
AGUUCUCACUUUAGCAGCAUUAUGUAUUAAAAUUAGAAUAAUACAGAGAUUAACGUGCCCUUUAUGCAAAGAUGACAUGCAAAUUCAUGAAAUGUUCUAUACUUUU